GCGCAGCAGUCGCGAAACUUUACAAUGUGCGAAAGCACGAUAAGGGAACUCUGAGUGCCUCCUAAGGAGGCUGUUCAGGUGUCUAAAAGCACCUGGAGUAAGGGCUGGGUAAGACCGGUGCCAGCCGCCGCGGUAACACCGGCAGCCCAGGUGGUAGCCACUUUUAUUGGGUCUAAAGCGUCCGUAGCCGGUUGAGUAAGUUCCUUGGGAAAUUUGGCUGCUCAACAGUCAAGCUUCCAGGGAAUACUGCUCGACUUGGGGACUGGGAGAGGUCAGAGGUACUCCAGGGGUAGGGGUGAAAUCCAUUAAUCCCUGGGGGACCACCGGUAGCGAAGGCGUCUGACCAGACCAGGUCCGACGGUGAGGGACGAAGGCUA
This 377-nucleotide ribosomal RNA is filed under the name uncultured microorganism. RNAcentral's name for it is "bacterial SSU rRNA". It matches the Rfam family "Archaeal small subunit ribosomal RNA", at positions 330 to 713 of the family's 1478-position model. The record is from RNAcentral.